Molecule: ribosomal RNA, 383 nt
Filed under: uncultured eukaryote
Lineage: Eukaryota
Description: partial 18S ribosomal RNA
Rfam family: Eukaryotic small subunit ribosomal RNA
Source: RNAcentral
CAAUAGCGUAUAUUAAAGUUGUUGCAGUUAAAAAGCUCGUAGUUGGAUUUGCGUUGGUGAAUGGGUUGUGGUCGCAAGACUAAGACUCGUUUCAGCAACAUUUUUUGGGAGCAGGGGUUCUUUGGCAUUGAGUUGUUGAGGUUCAACUACCCAUCGUUUACUGUGAAAAAAUUAGAGUGUUUCGAGCAGGGGUUAGUCCUUUGAAUAUAUUAGCAUGGAAUAAUAAGAUACGACUCGUAUGGUCUAUUUUGUUGGUUUGCACAUAUGAGUAAUGAUUAAUAGGGACAGUUGGGGGUAUUCAUAUUUGAGCGUCAGAGGUGAAAUUCUUGGAUCGCUGAAAGAGGAGCUAAGGCGAAAGCAUUUACCAAGGAUGUUUUCAUUAA